GUAAUGCCGGAUGCUCCAGUUGAUCGCAUGGUGUUCUGGGAAAGCCUUUGCGGCAUGGGAUGGGGUCGCGUCCUAUCAGCUUGAUGGCGGGGUAACGGCCCACCAUGGCUUCGACGGGUAGCCGGCCUGAGAGGGCGACCGGCCACAUUGGGACUGAGAUACGGCCCAGACUCCUACGGGAGGCAGCAGUGGGGAAUAUUGCACAAUGGGCGCAAGCCUGAUGCAGCGACGCCGCGUGAGGGAUGGAGGCCUUCGGGUUGUAAACCUCUUUUGUUAGGGAGCAAGGCAUUUUGUGUUGAGUGUACCUUUCGAAUAAGCACCGGCUAACUACGUGCCAGCAGCCGCGGUAAUACGUAGGGUGCAAGCGUUAUCCGGAAUUAUUGGGCGUAAAGGGCUCGUAGGCGGUUCGUCGCGUCCGGUGUGAAAGUCCAUCGCUUAACGGUGGAUCCGCGCCGGGUACGGGCGGGCUUGAGUGCGGUAGGGGAGACUGGAAUUCCCGGUGUAACGGUGGAAUGUGUAGAUAUCGGAAAAGAAC
This 535-nucleotide ribosomal RNA is filed under the name Bifidobacterium breve. RNAcentral's name for it is "bacterial SSU rRNA". It matches the Rfam family "Bacterial small subunit ribosomal RNA", at positions 163 to 707 of the family's 1533-position model. The record is from RNAcentral. Lineage: Bacteria; Bacillati; Actinomycetota; Actinomycetes; Bifidobacteriales; Bifidobacteriaceae.